This 782-nucleotide ribosomal RNA is filed under the name Batkoa major. RNAcentral's name for it is "SSU rRNA". It matches the Rfam family "Eukaryotic small subunit ribosomal RNA", at positions 350 to 1054 of the family's 1831-position model. Lineage: Eukaryota; Fungi; Entomophthoromycota; Entomophthoromycetes; Entomophthorales; Batkoaceae. The record is from RNAcentral.
UUACAACGGGUAACGGGGAAUUGAAGGUUUGAUUCCGGAGAGGCAGCCUGAGAAACGGCUACCCGGCCCUAAGGGGGGACAGCAGGCGCGAAAAUUACCCAAUGCUGACUCAGUGAGGUAGUGACGAUAAAUAACAAUCCGAGUAUUUUUAAUACUUGGAAUUGGAAUGAGAAAACAUUAAAUAACUUAACGAAAUCUAUUGGAGGGCAAGUCUGGUGCCAGCAGCCGCGGUAAUUCCAGCUCCAAUAGCGUAUAUUUAAAUUGCUGUGGUUAAAACGCCCGUAGUUAAACUUGUUGGGGCAAAAGGUGAUAAAGUCAGUUCAAAUGUCUAACAAAGAUAUACUUGUACUUUUAUUUAACCCCCCGAGCAGCAAAUUUUAAGUCUUUUGACUUUGGGUUUUGGUUUUAACGCCGUCAACAACUCGGUUGUUAACCACCCAACUAAAUAACCUCUUGUAGGUGUGUUAAGUUAAUAGACAUUUACCUUGAUUUAAUCAAAGCGUUCAAAGCAGGCAUUAAUUGCUCGAAUGUAUUAGCAUGGAAUAAUAUAAGAAGACUUGUGACAAUUUUGUUGGUUUUAAGACCACAAGUAAUGAUUGAUGGGGUAGGUUCGGGACAUUAGUAUUUACUCGCUAGAGGUGAAAUUCUUGGAUUGAGUAAGGACUAUCUACAGCGAAAGCAUCUGUCAGGGACCUAUUCAUCGAUCAAGGACGAAAGUUGGGGGAUCCAAGAUGAUUAGAUACCGUCGUAGUCCUAACCCUAAUCUUUGCCAACUCUGNGUA